CUCUACGACUGUGAGUGUUGAGUUCUGAGAGGGGGCUAUCUUGUUUGAAUGUACAUUGCUAAGCUUAGGCCUAUUUUCCCAACAGCAAAAUUGGUAAUCCAGCAAGAAAUGGCUAUUUCUCACAUUUGUUGGCUGUAAGUGUCUGUUUAAAGUUUCCUUAUAUACAGGUGCUUAACCUGCUUUUACAGUUUGAACAUUUAUUAUGCUAAUGAAAAUUUUUUGAAUGGUUUCACCUCCAGUUUUCCUCUUUAUACAUAUUUGGUAUUUUUUCAGGGUAAGGACUAUCUGCAAAAUCUGAGAUUGGGUUUUGAAAGACAGCAGCCUUUGUUUUGGAGAGAUAAUGGGAACUGCAGAUGCUGGAGAAUGCGAGAUAACACCGUGUGGAACUGGACGAAGACAGCAGGCCAAGCAUCAUCUUAGGAGCACAAAAGCUGAUGUUUCGGGCCGAGAACCACCUUCAGAAAAUGGGGAGGGGGUGCGGGUUCUGGAUUAAAUAGGGAGAGAGGGGGAGGCGGAUGGAAGAUGGAUGGAGGAGAAGGUAGGUGGAGAGGAGAGUAUGGGUAGGGAGGCAGGGAGGGGAUAGGUCAGUCUGGGGAGGCGGGACAGGUCAAGGGAGCGGGAUGAGGGGAAAUAGGGGUGCGGCAUGAGGUGGGAGGGGGGAUGGGUGAGAGGAAGAAUAGGUUAGGGAGGCGGGGACGAGCUGGGCUGGUUUCGGGACUCAGUGGGAGGACAGGAGAUUUGGAAGCUUGUGAAAUCCACACUGAUACCAUUGGGCUGCAGGGUUCCCAAGCAGAAUAUGAGUUGCUGUUCCUGCAACCUUCGGGUGGCGUCAUUAUGGCACUGCAGGAGGCCCAGGUUGGACGUGUCCUCUCAGGAAUGGGAGGGGGAGUUGAAAUGGUUAGUGACUGGGAGGUGCAGUUGUUUAUUGCAAACUGAGCGUAGGUGUUCUGAAAAGCGGUCCCCAAGCCUCUGCAUUGUUUCCCCAAUGUAGAGGAAGCCACAACGGGGACAGCGGAUGUUUUGGAUAUUUCUUCAGCAUUGAUUUUCAUUCAGAGUUGGUUCGAUUUUGCUGAAGCAAUAGACAUAACUCACUAUGACGUAGACAAUGUCAGAGUUAAUGUUUCGCGUCCUGUGACCCUUCCUCAGAUCUCACUCUUCACUGAUGCUGCCAGACCUGCUGAGCUUUUCCAGCAACUUCUGCUUUUGUUGCUGAUUUACAGUGCCCACAGUUCUUUUGUUUUUUACAACACAGACAAAACUUGAUCUCUGCAGGAAGCAUGAUGCUGCAUUCUCCAACUUCCCUGGCCUUUUGUAAUAUAAUAUUGUCUUUUUAGGACAGAAGUGGCUUUUUUUUUGUUUUAACUUCUGCACAUGCUUUCUAUGCAGGUUAAAAGUCUACACCUUUUCAGUUCACUGCAGUGCUGCAUAAUGAAGACUUGGAACAAUUUUUUUUAUGAAGUAGAAAAUCAGUGUGGUUUGUUUUCCAAAAUGUGAUGUCAGCUUUCCUGGAGCAAGUCUGUUUUCCUUCGGAUGAGACGACUUUCAGACAUACUCCCUUUAUUAUGAGAUAUAAUUGGGGUAAAAUGAGGAGGAUUUUUAUUCACUGAGACACACAUGACUAUAUGUUUAAAUCAUUGGAAAAUGCAUUCUGUUAGGACUGUCAUGUUAUCUGGUGUUUGGACCAGGCUUUCCGAUUAAAUGCAAGUGAUGAAGGAUGCUAAUGAUGCCACAUGUUAUUACAAGAGGAAAUGAACUUCCAAGUAAGGAUUUUAUGCCACAUUUAUACACAGCAUGGACCACGCAGCAUGGAUGCAGUGACUGAGUGAAAUGGGAUGCAGUGGCUGUGGGAAAUGGGAUGCAGUGACGGAGUGAAAUGGGAUGCCGUGACAGAGUGAAAUGGGAUGCUCACAGCGAAUUGCCCCCUCCAUCCUGACCCUCUCGCAGCGACCUGACCCGCUCACACUGACUCGCCCCUGCAGUCCUGACCCGCUCACAGUGACUAGCCCCUGCAGUCCUGACCAGCUCACAGCGACUUCUCUCUGCAGUCCUGACCCACUCACAGCGACCUACCCCUCCGUGCUGACCCGCUCAGAGUUGCCCCUGCAGUCCUGACCCCCCUCACAGUGACCUGCCCCCUCACUCCUGACCCGCUCUGCAUUGAGGAAACCAAGCGGAGGCUUGGGGACCGCUUUGCAGAACACCUCCGCUCGGUUCGCAACAAACAACUGCACCUCCCAGUCGCAAACCAUUCUAACUCCCCCUCCCAUUCCUUAGACGACAUGUCCAUCAUGGGCCUCCUGCAGUGCCACAAUAAUGCCACCCGAAGGUUGCAAGGACAGCAACUCCUCAUCCGCUUGGGAACCCUGCAACCCAAUGGUAUCAAUGUGGACUUCACAAGCUUCAAAAUCUCCCCCUCCCCAACUGCAUCCCAAAACCAGCCCAGUUCUUCCCCUCCCGCUACUGCAUCACAAAACCAGCCCAGCCUGUCUCCGCCUCCCUAACCUGUUGUUCCUCUCACCCAUCCCUUCCUCCCACCUCAAGCCACACCUCCAUUUCCGACCGACCACCUCAUCCUGCCUCCUUGACUUGUCCGUCUUCCCUGGACUGACCUAUCCCCUCCCUCCCUCCUCACCUGUACUCUCCUCUCUACCGAUCUUGUUUUCUCUCCAUCUUCGGUCCGCAUCCCCCCCUCUCCCUAUUUAUUCCACUUCCCUCUCCCAUCCCCCUCUCUGAUGAAGGGUCUAGGCCUGAAAUGUCAGCUUUUGUGCUCCUGAGAUGCUGCUUGGCCUGCUGUGUUCAUCCAGCUCCACACUUUGUUAUUUUGGAUUCUCCAGCAUUUGCCAUUAUCAGUGGCCUUUCCUCUUUGUCAAAGUUUGUGCAAAAGCAACACGAUAUGGGGCGGCACGGUGGCUCAGUGAUUAGCUCUGCAGCUUCACAGCACUGGGGACUCAGGCUCAAUUCCAGCCUCAGGCAACUGUUUGUGUGGAAUUUGCACCUUGACCCUGUGUCUGCGUGGGUUUCUUCCAGGUGCUCCGGUCUCCUCCCACAGUCCAAAGAGGUGCACGCUAGGUGGAUUGGCCAUGCUAAAUUGCCCAUAGUGUUCAGGGGCGUGGGUCUGGGUGGGAUGCUCCAAGGUUUGGUGUGCAGUUGUUGGGCCAAAGGGCCUGUUUCCACACUGUAGGGAAUCUAAACAAUCCUGUUCCCACAUCUCCAUGUUAUAACCCUGCUGCGCACUGCACACAGAGAUGUUUGAUAACAAAAGGAUAACAAUAAUAUUCAAACCCAGUGCUGGAGAUGUAUUUUAAAUACACUGAGGCCAGUGUCGAUCUCCAAUUCAACUUUUAUUUACAAAUGAACUGUCUUCAACUUUAGCACUGCCUCAUUCAGAGAUAGUUGCCAGGGUGUCAGCAUCUCUGACCCUCACACGACUUAGCUGUCAGUCAGGGCUCCCUGAUUUGGGCUGUUAAUGUGGACCAGUCAGGCAACUCAUAUUCUGUGAGGUUCAACUGGCCGACCUGGUCACAAACCAGUGCGGUGUGUUCAUCGAAAAUCAAACAUGUACUAGAAAGGUACCAUUACAUACCAGUGCAAAGGAAGGCAUGAGGCUAAACUGGGGAGGGAAGGGAACUGCUUAUUGGGGGUGGCUCAGAGAGUGGAAGAAAAUCGAAUGGGAAGAAGACCAUUUGAGACUGAGGGAGAGAGAUGUAAUUGCCUGAAUGAGGCAUUCCAAUUGCGAAAUGGAUUUUUGUGUGUACACCCUGUUCAGUUUCCCCGAUCUUAAUCUGUCCUCCUCUUUAAAUCAUUCGUAUCUGAAAUUUCUGUAUCAUUUCCAAAUGCUCUGUCUCUAAUGUUAUGCUGUUGGAAUUGUUUGAACUGCAGAGAUAUCAUUUAUUUGCACAAAUGUGUUCAGUGAAAUGAGUUGCAUGCUAUAUAUGUAUUAUUCUUCCUGAUUCUAUUAUACGCAUACAAAUUAAAGUUAGUUCCACUUUUGAACAACAAA
Long non-coding RNA from Stegostoma tigrinum, 4000 nucleotides. RefSeq lists it as uncharacterized. Lineage: Eukaryota; Metazoa; Chordata; Chondrichthyes; Orectolobiformes; Stegostomatidae. The transcript has 2 exons. The record is from RefSeq and is a predicted model, not a curated record.